This 2853-nucleotide ribosomal RNA is filed under the name Aeromonas australiensis. RNAcentral's name for it is "bacterial LSU rRNA". It matches the Rfam family "Bacterial large subunit ribosomal RNA". The record is from RNAcentral. Lineage: Bacteria; Pseudomonadati; Pseudomonadota; Gammaproteobacteria; Aeromonadales; Aeromonadaceae.
AGCGUACAUGGUGGAUGCCUUGGCAGUCAGAGGCGAUGAAGGACGUACUAACCUGCGAUAAGCUGUGAGAAGUCGGUAAGAGACGCUAUUACUCACAGAUUUCCGAAUGGGGAAACCCACCCGAGAUAACUCGGGUAUCCGUUAGUGAAUACAUAGCUAACGGAGGCGAACCGGGAGAACUGAAACAUCUAAGUACCCCGAGGAAAAGAAAUCAACCGAGAUUCCCUCAGUAGCGGCGAGCGAACGGGGAUUAGCCCUUAAGCAUCUUGGAAGUUAGUGGAACGGUCCUGGAAAGGCCGGCGAUACAGGGUGAUAGCCCCGUACACGAAAACGACCUUGAUGUGAAAUCGAGUAGGGCGGGACACGUGACAUCCUGUCUGAAUAUGGGGGGACCAUCCUCCAAGGCUAAAUACUCCUGACUGACCGAUAGUGAACCAGUACCGUGAGGGAAAGGCGAAAAGAACCCCUGUGAGGGGAGUGAAAUAGAACCUGAAACCGUGUACGUACAAGCAGUGGGAGCCCUUCGGGGUGACUGCGUACCUUUUGUAUAAUGGGUCAGCGACUUACAUUUUGUAGCGAGGUUAACCGUAUAGGGGAGCCGUAGGGAAACCGAGUCUUAACUGGGCGUCUAGUUGCAAGGUGUAGACCCGAAACCGGGUGAUCUAGCCAUGGGCAGGUUGAAGGUUGAGUAACAUCAACUGGAGGACCGAACCCACUAACGUUGCAAAGUUAGGGGAUGACCUGUGGCUGGGGGUGAAAGGCCAAUCAAACUCGGAGAUAGCUGGUUCUCCCCGAAAGCUAUUUAGGUAGCGCCUCGGACGAAUACUACUGGGGGUAGAGCACUGUUUGGACUAGGGGGUCAUCCCGACUUACCAACUCCAUGCAAACUCCGAAUACCAGUAAGUACUAUCCGGGAGACACACGGCGGGUGCUAACGUCCGUCGUGAAGAGGGAAACAACCCAGACCGCCGGCUAAGGUCCCAAAGUUCUGGUUAAGUGGGAAACGAUGUGGGAAGGCUCAGACAGCUAGGAUGUUGGCUUAGAAGCAGCCAUCAUUUAAAGAAAGCGUAAUAGCUCACUAGUCGAGUCGGCCUGCGCGGAAGAUGUAACGGGGCUCAAACCAGGCACCGAAGCCGCGGAUGCGGGCGCAUCACUUAAGUACGCUGCGUGCGAAGCACGCCAAGCCCCCUCUCAUCAGUGGAGGCGGGAUGGUUAGCGUAAUUAAGGAUGCGCCUGCGUGGUAGGGGAGCGUUCUGUAAGUCUGCGAAGGUGUAUCGAGAGGUAUGCUGGAGAUAUCAGAAGUGCGAAUGCUGACGUAAGUAACGAUAAAGGGGGUGAAAAGCCUCCUCGCCGGAAGACCAAGGGUUCCUGUCCAACGUUAAUCGGGGCAGGGUGAGUCGACCCCUAAGGCGAGGCCGAAAGGCGUAGUCGAUGGGAAGCAGGUUAAUAUUCCUGCACGACUUGUAAUUGCGAUGGGGGGACGGAGAAGGCUAGGUGGGCCAGGCGACGGUUGUCCUGGUGAAAGUGCGUAGGUGGUGUUUCUAGGCAAAUCCGGAGACACAACACUGAGACACGAGACGAACGCACUACGGUGCGGAAGCCAUUGAUGCCCUGCUUCCAGGAAAAGCCUCUAAGCUUCAGAUUACAAGUCAUCGUACCCCAAACCGACACAGGUGGUCGGGUAGAGAAUACCAAGGCGCUUGAGAGAACUCGGGUGAAGGAACUAGGCAAAAUAGAACCGUAACUUCGGGAGAAGGUUCGCUCUUGAUGGUGAAGUCCCUUGCGGAUGGAGCUGUCGGGAGUCGCAGUGACCAGAUGGCUGGGACUGUUUAUCAAAAACACAGCACUCUGCAAACACGAAAGUGGACGUAUAGGGUGUGACACCUGCCCGGUGCCGGAAGGUUAAUUGAUGGGGUUAGCGCAAGCGAAGCUCUUGAUCGAAGCCCCGGUAAACGGCGGCCGUAACUAUAACGGUCCUAAGGUAGCGAAAUUCCUUGUCGGGUAAGUUCCGACCUGCACGAAUGGUGUAACCAUGGCCAUGCUGUCUCCACCCGAGACUCAGUGAAAUCGAAUUCGCCGUGAAGAUGCGGUGUACCCGCGGCUAGACGGAAAGACCCCGUGAACCUUUACUACAGCUUGGCACUGAACAUUGAACCUACAUGUGUAGGAUAGGUGGGAGGCUUUGAAGGCGUGACGCCAGUUGCGCUGGAGCCGUCCUUGAAAUACCACCCUUGUAUGUUUGAUGUUCUAACGCAGGGCCCUGAAUCGGGCUCGCGGACAGUGCCUGGUGGGUAGUUUGACUGGGGCGGUCUCCUCCCAAAGAGUAACGGAGGAGCACGAAGGUUGGCUAAUCCUGGUCGGACAUCAGGAGGUUAGUGCAAUGGCAUAAGCCAGCUUAACUGCGAGACGGACAGGUCGAGCAGGUACGAAAGUAGGUCAUAGUGAUCCGGUGGUUCUGAAUGGAAGGGCCAUCGCUCAACGGAUAAAAGGUACUCCGGGGAUAACAGGCUGAUACCGCCCAAGAGUUCAUAUCGACGGCGGUGUUUGGCACCUCGAUGUCGGCUCAUCACAUCCUGGGGCUGAAGUCGGUCCCAAGGGUAUGGCUGUUCGCCAUUUAAAGUGGUACGCGAGCUGGGUUCAGAACGUCGUGAGACAGUUCGGUCCCUAUCUGCCGUGGGCGUUGGAUGAUUGAAGGGAGUUGCUCCUAGUACGAGAGGACCGGAGUGAACGAACCUCUGGUGUUCGGGUUGUCACGCCAGUGGCACUGCCCGGUAGCUAAGUUCGGAAUCGAUAACCGCUGAAAGCAUCUAAGCGGGAAGCGAGCCCUGAGAUGAGUCAUCCCUGACCCCUUGA